GCAUUGGUGGUUCAGUGGUACAAUUCUUGCCUCCCAUACAGGAGACUUGGAUUCUACUCCCGGCCAAUGCA
RNAcentral lists this transfer RNA (71 nucleotides) under Loxodonta africana (African savanna elephant). It matches the Rfam family "tRNA". From Rfam's summary of the family: Transfer RNA (tRNA) molecules are approximately 80 nucleotides in length. Their secondary structure includes four short double-helical elements and three loops (D, anti-codon, and T loops). Further hydrogen bonds mediate the characteristic L-shaped molecular structure. tRNAs have two regions of fundamental functional importance: the anti-codon, which is responsible for specific mRNA codon recognition, and the 3' end, to which the tRNAs corresponding amino acid is attached (by aminoacyl-tRNA synthetases). tRNAs cope with the degeneracy of the genetic code in two manners: having more than one tRNA (with a specific anti-codon) for a particular amino acid; and 'wobble' base-pairing, i.e. permitting non-standard base-pairing at the 3rd anti-codon position. The record is from Rfam by way of RNAcentral. Lineage: Eukaryota; Metazoa; Chordata; Mammalia; Proboscidea; Elephantidae.